UCUCCUGUAGCUCAGUGGUAGAGCAUCCGAUCGGUGUGCGGAAGGUCAUAGGUUCGACUCCAGUUGGGAGAA
Molecule: transfer RNA, 72 nt
Filed under: Desmophyllum pertusum
Lineage: Eukaryota; Metazoa; Cnidaria; Anthozoa; Scleractinia; Caryophylliidae
Description: Lophelia pertusa tRNA
Rfam family: tRNA
About the family: Transfer RNA (tRNA) molecules are approximately 80 nucleotides in length.
Source: Rfam by way of RNAcentral